Long non-coding RNA from Micropterus dolomieu (smallmouth bass), 729 nucleotides. RefSeq lists it as uncharacterized. The record is from RefSeq and is a predicted model, not a curated record. NCBI's taxonomy places the organism in Eukaryota, Metazoa, Chordata, Actinopteri, Centrarchiformes, Centrarchidae. The transcript is spliced from 3 exons.
GCUGAUUUCUCACCUUUCUUAGGAUCAUUGAGACCCCACGAGGAACAUGAAGGUGCUGUGUCAACAAUGGACUCACUCCAGUUGAAUAUUCCUGGGAGCUUUGACAGGCCACCCCUGUAACUGGAUGCCGUCAGAUGAUGCUCCAAAAUUUGUCUGUGUGGACUCUCAGCUGUUUUGCAUCCUCUCAUUGCACCACUGGGGUUCUCCAAAGCCCUUGUAGUCCCCAUCACAAUGACUACACCCCACCUUUAGAGCUUCUUUGGUGACAGAAUCGGGACAGCUCCACCAUCAGCAGGAUCAAAGCCGCAGCAAGACAGAGAUGGAUUAAUAAGUAAAGAAAAGUGCAACAGAACAAGAAAGGCGCCCAGAUCGCACAAAGGUGGUAAAGUCACCUGGGGCCUCCAGAGGAGAAGAAGUUUUCAGACGUGUUUGUUUUGCUGUACUUGCCGAAAGAGUUUCUGUGCAUGAGUGUCUACCAUUCCAGGAACAGCAGGAGCAGAGGAGGAAGGAAGAUGGACUGCCACUGCUGUAGCUGGCAUACAGAAGUUUGAAGAGCAAAAGAAGGCAUGUGCUUACACCGGCAUUCACCCAGCAUGCCGCUGUUCAUUAUUCCACCAAUCUGUCAGCUCCUACUCCUGAAUCAUCGUGGUGAUACAGAAGGAGGCGCGGCCAAGCCCCCCAGUCCCGUACAGUUAUUUUUGAUGUUUGAGGAUAUGAAUGGUUCAUUGA